Mauremys reevesii (Reeves's turtle) is the source of this 592-nucleotide long non-coding RNA. RefSeq lists it as uncharacterized. NCBI's taxonomy places the organism in Eukaryota, Metazoa, Chordata, Testudines, Geoemydidae. The transcript has 4 exons. The record is from RefSeq and is a predicted model, not a curated record.
UACUAUUCCAUUCUGUUUUUCCUUUAAAUACUAAAUAGUAACCAAGGAAAAGGGAGAGACAUUUUCUGCAGAGAUUUGAAAAGAUGUAGAGUCAGUCAUGUUGAGAACUAGAGGAAAGAUAUUCCAGAUGGCAGGAGACACAGAGAAACCGCUCACACCAGCAGUGGUGAGAUCGUAUGAAGAAACAAAGAUGAAGUGGAAAAAAUAAAAAGAGAAAUGCAUUGUAGUAACUGUCCUCUGGUUCUGCCAUAUCUGCACCUGAUCACACCUACAGGAUGAAAAACCAUUUAGACUAAAGGCAAGAUACUGCUCCCCCUGAAGCUAACAAGGCCCUGAAGAUGAGGCUCCUGGGUGCUUGGAGGUGGAGAGCUGGAGCUGCCACUCGAUCUAGCAUUGGAAUCAAGAGGUCAUCAUAAGAGGUUAAGGUAUCAGGAAUCAGGGCUUGCUGCCCUUCCAAGAGUACACCAGGAUUCUAGCGAUAGUUGAUUUCCUGAUGAAGAUGGCACAUUUUAUACCAUGUCGCGGCCUCCCCACCGCCCAGGAAAUAGCCUGUCUAUUCAAAGACUACAUCUUUCACCUUCAUGGGUUGCCC